RNAcentral lists this ribosomal RNA (738 nucleotides) under Veluticeps sp. Its description in RNAcentral is "partial large subunit ribosomal RNA". It matches the Rfam family "Eukaryotic large subunit ribosomal RNA", at positions 47 to 807 of the family's 3401-position model. The record is from RNAcentral. Lineage: Eukaryota; Fungi; Basidiomycota; Agaricomycetes; Gloeophyllales; Gloeophyllaceae.
AAUGGGAAGGAAAAAACUAACAAGGAUUCCCCUAGUAACUGCGAGUGAAGCGGGAAGAGCUCAAAUUUAAAAUCUGGCAGUUCUGCUGUCCGAAUUGUAUUCUGGAGAAGUGUUUUCCGCACCGGACCGUGUAUAAGUCUCUUGGAACAGAGCGUCAUAGAGGGUGAGAAUCCCGUCUUUGACACGGACUCCCGGAGCUUUGUGAUGCGCUCUCAAAGAGUCGAGUUGUUUGGGAAUGCAGCUCAAAAUGGGUGGUAAAUUCCAUCUAAAGCUAAAUAUUGGCGAGAGACCGAUAGCGAACAAGUACCGUGAGGGAAAGAUGAAAAGCACUUUGGAAAGAGAGUUAAACAGUACGUGAAAUUGUUGAAAGGGAAACGCUUGAAGUCAGUCGCGUCUGUUGGAACUCAGCCUUGCUUGCCGCUUGGUGUAUUUUCCUGCUGACGGGCCAGCAUCGAUUUUGACUGCCGGACAAGGGCCUGUGGAAUGUGGCAUCUUCGGGUGUGUUAUAGCCAUGGGUCGUAUACGGCAGUUGGGAUCGAGGACCGCAUUUGAGGAUGCUGGCAUAAUGGCUUUAAGCGACCCGUCUUGAAACACGGACCAAGGAGUCUAACAUGCCCGCGAGUGUUUGGGUGGAAAACCCGAGCGCGUAAUGAAAGUGAAAGUUGAGACCUCUGUCGUGGAGGGCAUCGACGCCCGGACCUGAUCUUCGGUGACGGAUCUGAGGUAGAAGGCGUAAAC